This is a non-coding RNA of Phasianus colchicus (ring-necked pheasant), 1610 nucleotides long. The record is from RefSeq and is a predicted model, not a curated record. NCBI's taxonomy places the organism in Eukaryota, Metazoa, Chordata, Aves, Galliformes, Phasianidae.
GGUUAUGGGGUUAUGGGGUCGGUUAUGGGGUCAGCCAUGGGAUUCUGGGAUUCUGGGGUCAUUUGUGGGGUUCUGUGUUUGUGGGGUGGCUGUUGUUCCUGGGGUCCUUAUUGGGGUGAGCUGUGGGGUCUGCCUGGCGUCCGUCCGCCGGUCCGUCAGCGUCCGUCCGUCCGUCCGCCGGCCCCCAGGUGUACGUGCUGAGCGCCCAGGAAGGCGGGCGCCACAAACCCUUCGUGUCGCACUUCAGCCCCGUGGUUUUUUCACACACCUGGGACAUCGCAGCCAGGGUGCUGCUGCCGCCCGGAAAGGACCUGGUGAUGCCGGGUGAGGACACGUCCCUGCAGCUGCUGCUGCGGCAGCCGAUGGUGGUGGAGGAGGGGCAGCGCUUCACCCUUCGCGACGGCUCCCGCACCAUCGGCACCGGCGUCGUCACGGCGACGCUGACCCCCAGCGCCGAGGAGGAGGAGGCCGCCUGGGGCUGACCCUGUCGCGACGGAGCGUAUCGCCAUCACGAGGCCCCCCCCCUUAUCGUGAUGGCGCCGCUGCCGGGGUGGGGCUUCGGCGUGAUGCGGGGACGCUGUCGUGAUAGCGAGGGUGGAACGGCGCUGACUGUCGCGAUGUGGGCACCGAGUAUCGUGAUAGCGGCACCAGAUGUCACGAUACCAUCACCAAUAUCGUGAUACAGGCACCAAAUGUUGCAAGAUGGGCACCUGGUGGUGACAGUAUCGCGAUAUGGGUACUGAAUAUCGCGAUAGUGGCACCAGAUGUCGCUAUACUGUCAGCAAUGUCGUGAUAUGGGCACUGAAUGUCGCAAUAUGGGGCACCCAGUGGUGACAGUAUCGCGAUAUGGGUACUGAGUAUCGUGAUACCGGCACCAGAUGUUGCGAUACUGUCAGUGAUGUCAUGAUACGGGCAUGGAAUAUCGCAAUAUGGGCAGCCAGUGGUGACAGUAUCGCGAUAUGGGUACUGAAUAUUGUGAUAGCAGCACCAGAUGUCACGAUACUGUCAGCAAUGUCGUGAUACAGGCACCGAAUGUCACAAUAUGGGGCACCCAGUGGUGAUAGUAUCAUGAUACGGGUACUGAAACGGUGACAAUAUCGCAAUACUGGCACCAAAUAUCACGAUACUGGCCCUGUAUCAUGAUGGUGACACUGCCAGCAGGCACCGGCUGGGGCUCCAUCACAAUAUGGGGGCACUGUCGUGAGAGUGAGAGCAGAACAGCGCUGACUAUUGUGAUAUGGGUGCUGAAUGCUGUGAUAGUGGCACUAAAUGUCAUGAUAGUGGCGCCAAAUAUCGUGGUACUGUCACCAAUAUUGUGAUAUGGGCACCGAAUGUUGCAAUAGUGGUGCCAAAUGUUGUGAUGUUGGCCCCUAUCGCGACAGUGAUGCUGCCUGGAGGCACCAGCUGGGGCUCCAUUGCAAUAUGGGGACACUAUCAUGAUAGGGUGGGACAGCGCUAUCACGAUAUGGGCACCAAUAUCAUGAUAGUGUCACCAAGUAUCGCGACAUAGGCUGCAGAUGCUGCGAUAUUGACACCAAACUGGUGACCAAUGGGGGGGUGGUUGAUGCGGGAACGGUUGAUGGUAUCACAAUAAAGACACUGGAACUGUG